GGUUGCUAGAGCAAUCUGACAGUGACAUCUGUCAGUCCACUUAUGCCAGGUUUGAUUCCAGGGAUUCGGCUGCUGGAAGGUGUCCCGUGAUACCCUCACUGUUCUAUAUUUGUCAUUCUGCUCUAGGCAUCUUCAGGAUGUCACUCAAGGCACGGAGGCUGCUAAGCGCACAUAGAGGAGGACCUUGCUGUCAUCCAAGCAAUACAAUGAGCUACAUGCGCCCACCAAGACCUCAGAACAAACCUUUGAGGUUCAUAUACAAAGGCUAGUUUUAGUUCAAUUUUUUAUUUGUAAAACAAAUUAAAUGCAUUUUAAAUGCGAUGAAGGUUUUAGUU
This 335-nucleotide small RNA is filed under the name Octodon degus (degu). Its description in RNAcentral is "7SK RNA (ENSODEG00000024043.1)". The record is from RNAcentral. Lineage: Eukaryota; Metazoa; Chordata; Mammalia; Rodentia; Octodontidae.